UACGGAGGGUGCGAGCGUUGUCCGGAUUUAUUGGGUUUAAAGGGUGCGUAGGUGGCUUUAUAAGUCAGUGGUGAAAUACAGCCGCUCAACGGUUGAGGUGCCAUUGAUACUGUAGAGCUUGAAAUAAUUGGAGGCUGCCGGAAUGGAUGGUGUAGCGGUGAAAUGCAUAGAUAUCAUCCAGAACACCGAUUGCGAAGGCAGGUGGCUACGAUUUAUUUGACACUGAGGCACGAAAGCAUGGGGAGCAAAC
Molecule: ribosomal RNA, 250 nt
Filed under: uncultured bacterium
Lineage: Bacteria
Description: partial 16S ribosomal RNA
Rfam family: Bacterial small subunit ribosomal RNA
Source: RNAcentral